Long non-coding RNA from Drosophila subobscura, 274 nucleotides. RefSeq lists it as uncharacterized. The transcript has 2 exons. The record is from RefSeq and is a predicted model, not a curated record. Lineage: Eukaryota; Metazoa; Arthropoda; Insecta; Diptera; Drosophilidae.
UGAAAACCUUUUACAAGAUAUAUUGGUAUUCGUCGGAUCAUUCAGAAAUAUGAAAUGAAAUAACAUGAAGGUAAAAAGAAAUUAUGGACACAUAUUGUCAUGGGAAGCCAUAGAGCAUCCAAUGGAGCAAGCAAAUGCGAUGCCAGAGGGAAAGAAAUUUGAAAAAUAUAAAUAAAGGAAGAGAAAUAUAAAUAGAGACUUAGUUAAAUUGGAGACGCUUUAAGUAUCAUAACUAGGAUUAUGAUGACUCAAAAAUAUAUUGUUGAGUAAAGUA